Molecule: long non-coding RNA, 213 nt
Filed under: Elaeis guineensis (African oil palm)
Lineage: Eukaryota; Viridiplantae; Streptophyta; Magnoliopsida; Arecales; Arecaceae
Description: long non-coding RNA (EGUI_LNC068846)
Source: RNAcentral
GAAGAGGUUGGUACAAGUUUCUCUUAGAUCUGGAGUUGAUCUGAGGUUGUUUGAGGUGCGGGUGAGAUCUCCAUCAACAGAUCUACAGGAAAGGCUGCAGCAGGACAAAUCUGCAAGGUCUGGUUCUAUCUACCUUCUUCCCUAUCUAGAAUGCUACAAUUUGAGAUCUAUGAAUUGAAAGACCUCGGUCCAGACCUGAUCUAGUUGGGUACC